CCAUGAAUCUGGUCUUGGGACACUGUCAGGUGGGCAGUUUGACUGGGGCGGUCGCCUCCCAAAAGGUAACGGAGGCGCUCAAAGGUUCUCUCAGUACGGUCGGAAAUCGUACGUAGAGUGUAAAGGCAAAAGAGAGCUUGAUUGCAAGACAUACAGGUCGAGCAAGGAUGAAAAUCGGACUUAGUGAUCCGGUGGUUCUGCGUGGAAGGGCCAUCGCUCAACGGAUAAAAGCUACCCUGGGGAUAACAGGCUUAUCUCCCCCAAGAGUCCACAUCGACGGGGAGGUUUGGCACCUCGAUGUCGGCUCAUCACAUCCUGGGGCUGUAGUAGGUCCCAAGGGUUGGGCUGUUCGCCCAUUAAAGUGGUACGCGAGCUGGGUUCAGAACGUCGUGAGACAGUUCGGUCCCUAUCCGUCGCAGGCGUAGGAAAUUUGAGAAGACCUGUCCUUAGUACGAGAGGACCGGGAUGGACGUACCUCUGGUGUACCAGUUGUUCUGCCAAGGGCAUGGCUGGGUAGCUAUGUACGGAAUGGAUAAGCGCUGAAAGCAUCUAAGCGCGAAGCCAACUUCAAGAUAAGAUUUCCCACCGCAAGGGUAAGACCCCAGAAAGACUAUCUGGUUGAUAGGUCGAAGGUGUAAGUGCAGCAAUGUAUUUAGCUUAUCGAUACUAAUAGGUCGAGGACUUGACCAAUAUU
Molecule: ribosomal RNA, 694 nt
Filed under: Clostridioides difficile
Lineage: Bacteria; Bacillati; Bacillota; Clostridia; Peptostreptococcales; Peptostreptococcaceae
Description: bacterial LSU rRNA
Rfam family: Bacterial large subunit ribosomal RNA
Source: RNAcentral